UCGAGAAUUUUUCUCAAUGGGGGCAACCCUGAAGGAGCGACGCCGCGUGGAGGAUGAAGGUCUUCGGAUUGUAAACUCCUGUCAUUAGGGAACAAGGUGCGAGGGUUAACUGCCUUCGUAUUGAUAGUACCUGAAGAGGAAGAGACGGCUAACUCUGUGCCAGCAGCCGCGGUAAUACAGAGGUCUCGAGCGUUGUUCGGAUUCAUUGGGCGUAAAGGGUGCGUAGGUGGCGGGGCAAGUCAGGUGUGAAAUCCCGGAGCUUAACUCCGGAACUGCAUUUGAUACUGCCUUGCUGGAGUACUGGAGAGGAGACUGGAAUUUACGGUGUAGCAGUGAAAUGCGUAGAGAUCGUAAGGAAGACCAGUGGCGAAGGCGAGUCUCUGGACAGUUACUGACACUGAGGCACGAAGGCCAGGGGAGCAAACGG
RNAcentral lists this ribosomal RNA (427 nucleotides) under uncultured bacterium. RNAcentral's name for it is "bacterial SSU rRNA". It matches the Rfam family "Bacterial small subunit ribosomal RNA", at positions 355 to 775 of the family's 1533-position model. The record is from RNAcentral.